GAGUMMMGAKCAUGGCUCAGGAUGAACGCUGGCGGCGUGCCUAACACAUGCAAGUCGUGCGCGAAAGGGUAGCAAUACCUGAGUAAAGCGGCGAACGGGUGAGUAACACGUGGUUAACCUGCCGAAAUGUGGGGGAUACCCCSRRGRAAMYYSGGRACAAUACCGCAUAUGGUCUUCUGGGCGUCGGCCCGGAAGGGCAAAGUCGGGGAUCGCAAGACCUGGCGCAUUUCGUGGGGACCGCGGCCGAUUAGCUAGUUGGCGGAGUAACAGCCCACCAAGGCGACGAUCGGUAGCCGGCCUGAGAGGGUGAUCGGCCACACCGGAACUGAGACACGGUCCGGACUYCUACGGGAGGCAGCAGUGGGGAAUUUUGCGCAAUGGGGGAAACCCUGACGCAGCAACGCCGCGUGGAGGAUGAAGUCCCUUGGGACGUAAACUCCUUUCGAUCGGGACGAUUAUGACGGUACCGAGAGAAGAAGCCCCGGCUAACUUCGUGCCAGCCGCCGCGGUAAUACA
RNAcentral lists this ribosomal RNA (516 nucleotides) under uncultured Acidobacteriota bacterium. RNAcentral describes it as "uncultured Acidobacteria bacterium partial 16S ribosomal RNA". It matches the Rfam family "Bacterial small subunit ribosomal RNA", at positions 9 to 527 of the family's 1533-position model. The record is from RNAcentral. Lineage: Bacteria; Pseudomonadati; Acidobacteriota.